Oncorhynchus keta (chum salmon) is the source of this 10091-nucleotide RNA transcript. It is a transcript of the gene named sialic acid-binding Ig-like lectin 9, with no coding region annotated. The transcript has 5 exons. Lineage: Eukaryota; Metazoa; Chordata; Actinopteri; Salmoniformes; Salmonidae. The record is from RefSeq and is a predicted model, not a curated record.
AUUAUGCCUUCUUGGUCUUCAACUCAGUUUCCCAUGACAUUUGUAUUGUAUUUUAACCAGACAUGUUAGUGCAUCUUCACAGAGUUUGACCAACCCUUACAACACUCUGUGGGCCCUAGUUUAGUUCCUCUUCACACUUUGAGACUGAGUUAAAGUGCUAAAGUUUUGCUAUAUUUGUUAGGCGGGGUUUAACUUCUCGUAAAUACUUCCGUUUAAACUCUACACCAUGUUCCCUGAAAUAUAUGUGUUUCUGCUGUUGAAAAAGGGCGUAAAGUACAGGUCUCCUGAGCAGGCAUCACUCUGCAGCAGGGACAUUAUAGCAAACUGUCUUUACAAUACCUGCUAUCGUGACUUUUAUAAAGGAUUCUAGAUAUGGCUUCAUUUGGGCUGAAUUCUGGUGGCAUGAGCCUCAACCUGUUGGCUACUCCUGCAAAUGACUUCCAAAGUCUCUCAUCAGUAUGCACCAAACUACAGAUAAUCACACAGUUGGUACCUAAACUAAAAGCCUUGUAGAGUUGUUCUAGCCAUUGUAAGUCAUAGUCAAACUGAAUGGAAUUGAAAGGAAAUUUAGGGUAAACCUAAAGUGGGUUAACAACUAAGUAAAACAUACUCAACUGCAUUUGGCACAAUCGUUGUGAUAAAACGGGGGUUUUCUGCACAAAUAUAAUUACAUAAGCGUUGGAAGCCUGCAGUGGUUGUUUGAACUCUUUAUUGUAUCACAAAAAUAUCAGCUAUCACAACCAUGGUGUCAAAUGCGUCGUACAUCAGUUGUACUACCUAAGUGUGUAUGGGGGCCAAAGAUAUCUGUUGAGUCAGAUAUUAGUGAACUAUUAGUAAAGAUCAACCAGCAGCAUAAAAUAUUGAAGUUGUAUAUGCUCUACCAAUGACUUUUGGUUUGAAUUUGGUUGUUUUUGUAAUACAUUGAGAUGCACUAAAAAUACAUGCCCAGGAUAAAACAACUGACCAAUGUGAACCAUAUGCACAGUUAUUUUAAUCUGAAAUAUGAACUGCCCUCAUGCAUUAGUUCAAAGACUAAACAAACAAGUAUACCAAGGGCCUGAAUGUUAAUGCAGUAUUUUAGGUUACUAUGCUGACUUGAGUAUAUUCUACAACUGUUCCGUUCCUAAUUGUACUGACAUUAACACAGUGUUGUACUGUGCAACAGUUUAUAUUGUCUCAACACAAAAUUAUGUUGUGAAAAGGGGGAACUAAAGAUAGAUACUGACUCUCGACUCUGGCCUCUACAGAUAUUUUUACAUUUCCCUCAGCCAGAAAUGACAGAAAAUAUUUAGAUAUCUCCACCGAACAGAGAGCUAAGUGAGACAGACAGAGGGCUGGUACACAGUAGGGAGUGGUAAGUUGAUUUAUAACAAUAUAAACAAGUCAUUAAGUCAGCAUAUUAUGAAGUGAUUAAUCAUUUGUGCAUUUGGUUAGCUGUUUAGGGAAAUAAAUUGUAUACUCUCUAUUACAGCAUAGAUUUGUAUCUCAUAAACCCUGAUUUCUUAAGUCUUGUGAUAAAAGAAGAUGCUGGUUGAGAUCUGCACCGUGGCUAUCUGCUGGGUCAUAACAGCAAGCUGUAGUCAGUGCAUAGGUACAGUAUAAUGCUCUACGACUUGACAAAAGAGUAUAGUAACAUGUUUUGGAAUAAGAUUACUCUCUUUGUAAGCUUUGGCGAGUCAAUUGUUAAAUGUAUUACUAUACUGGACAUUUUUAGAGCCUCGUGAGACAGGUACAAACUUCUCCAUCACAGUGACCCAAGACGUUACAGUAGAGGCUGGACGGUGCAUUCCUAUAGCAUGUAAAUUCACAUACCCAGGCAAUAUUACUGAAUACGUACGAAGAGUCUGGUUCAAAGGAGAUGCACUUACACCUGUAUUUGAAAAAGAUGCAGAGGUGUGCGGUGUUGUUUGGCAGUUCCUGAGAGGUCCUGAAAGGUCUUGCAGCUUUUUCCUCGAAGACCAACAAGAAGGAGAAAGCGAGUAUAGAUUCAAGUUAACAUGGGGAGAUGAUCAAAUGCAUGUUUUUCCUGAGAGGGUACGAGUCUCAGUGUCUGCUCUAACCCAGAAGAAGCCCACUGUGGAGACACCCCCUCUCACAGAGGGAGAGUGGGCCACACUGACCUGCAAAGUAUAUUCACUCAAACGAAAUGACCUCUGCCCGCAAAGACUGGAAGAAGAUUUUGUUGGAAUAGACUGGAGAGGGACAGAGAACUUAGGCAUGCUUUGGGGGAGAAUGGAGCCAUCAACAGCAGAACAUGUAUUCAGUGUGGCUGAGUUGUCUUUCACUCCUAAAUCCGAACAUCACAACAUCAACCUCACAUGUAUGGGCUUCUACAAGAAGGCCAACAUUACUGUGGAGAAAACGACCGUCCCAAGUUCCUGAAUGGCUCGGUGUGUGUGGUCCAGGCAGAGGUCCUGACCUGUGUGUGUGUCAGUCAGGGGGUUCCCUUACCAGUGAUUGCUUGGCCAAUGUUAGGGGUCUAUAUUAGUUACAGUAUCGUCGUCUCCAGGAGUGCCCAAACCGUGAACAGCACCAUCACCAUGUCUGCCUCAGAAUACAAGAACAGCAGCAUGGAGUGUGUCAGCAGAAAUGUAAUUGGCCAGAUCGAGAUGGAAUUCCCCGUACUACACCAAGCUGAAGGGAGCCUGACACAUAUCCCUGGGUCAGAGAAGAGGGAUGUUGCAGUCUUUCCCUGGAUAAUCGUUGGCUUGUCCCUCAGCCUUAAUGUGGCCCUCCUUGUCUAUCUGACCAGCGCUUGUAAAUGCAAAAAGGGUGGACAGAAGAGAGCAAAAGAAGAAGAUAGUACCUACAUCUCAUUGGACAAGGCAGACGUGUCUCCUGAAUAUGACAUCAUCUCCCCGAAUCCCCAUUGAUCCUCUGCUUGUGAUAACCUUCUACUUUAUUUUAGCGUUUGGUUCUGCUUGAUUUUGCUCUUUUAUUUCAAUUUCAAUUAUUUUCUAUUGCUAUACUUUUUGUUGUUGUUGCUUGAGCCCUGAAAACAUUUUGAUGUGAAUGAAUUCAACCUAUUUUCUGAAUAAUGUCUCAGGAUUUAUGCACAAAAAAAUGACUAAAUUGUAACAGUUUUUCUGUAAAAGCACAUACGGAAGCUACAAGUUAGUGUUAUCUUCCUCAUGUUCAACUAUGUUAAUCAAAAUGGUAUGCAGAUAAUCAAGGUACCACAGUAUGGAACGCCGUUUGGGUCUUUCCGUGUCAAAAAAGAUACACAUCAAAUAACACUAUUUGACACAUUGAAUAAGCUUUUAAUUUGACAUGUAAAAAAAAACAAUUUAAUUGUAGAAUGUUGUGUUGGACCGCAACUUCUGGGCUAGCAGCUAGCUUUAGCUUAGUCCCCAGCAAGAGGUGUUGUUCGCCUGUUGAAAUUGAACUUCAGUUCAUGACAAGAAAUAGCAAGCCAGCUCCUAAACCCUGGUGCCCAAAGUUAACGUUAUAUACUGCCAGCUAGCUUCAUGAGGCUCCACCAGACCGGGUUAUGUGUUAUGAAGCUAGCCACAAUAAGGAGUAGGCACAAUAGUGGAAUUUGCCAUUUGACUUCAAAAUAAAAGUUCCUCUUUGAAAGUGAUGCUGAAGGUAACAACUAGUGGAAUCGUGCCAUAUUUAGAUUAGAUCAUGUUAAACAAGGUUCAAAUCAAAUCAAAUCAAAUUUUAUUUGUCACAUACACAUGGUUAGCAGAUGUUAAUGCGAGUGUAGCGAAAUGCUUGUGCUUCUAGUUCCGACAAUGCAGUGAUAACCAACAAGUAAUCUAACUAACAAUUCCAAAACUACUGUCUUAUACACAGUGUAAGGGGAUAAGGAAUAUGUACAUAAGGAUAUAUCAAUGAGUGAUGGUACAGAGCAGCAUACAGUAGAUGGUAUCGAGUACAGUAUAUACAUAUGAGAUGAGUGUUUAGACAAAGUAAACAAAGUGGCAUAGUUAAAGUGGCUAGUGAUACAUAAGGAUGCAGUCGAUGAUGUAGAGUACAGUAUAUACAUAUGCAUAUGAGAUGAAUAAUGUAGGGUAAGUAACAUUAUAUAAGGUAGCAUUGUUUAAAGUGGCUAGUGAUAUAUUUACAUCAUUUCCCAUCAAUUUCCAUUAUUAAAGUGGCUGGAGUUGGGUCAGUGUCAAUGACAGUGUGUUGGCAGCAGCCACUCAAUGUUAGUGGUGGCUGUUUAACAGUCUGAUGGCCUUGAGAUAGAAGCUGUUUUUCAGUCUCUCGGUCCCAGCUUUGAUGCACCUGUACUGACCUCGCCUUCUGGAUGAUAGCGGGGUGAACAGGCAGUGGUUCGGGUGGUUGAUGUCCUUGAUGAUCUUUAUGGCCUUCCUGUAACAUCGGGUGGUGUAGGUGUCCUGGAGGGCAGGUAGUUUGCCCCCGGUGAUGCGUUGUGCAGUCCUCACUACCCUCUGGAGAGCCUUACGGUUGAGGGCGGAGCAGUUGCCGUACCAGGCGGUGAUACAGCCCGCCAGGAUGCUCUCGAUUGUGCAUCUGUAGAAGUUUGUGAGUGCUUUUGGUGACAAGCCGAAUUUCUUCAGCCUCCUGAGGUUGAAGAGGCGCUGCUGCGCCUUCUUCACGACGCUGUCAGUGUGAGUGGACCAAUUCAGUUUGUCUGUGAUGUGUAUGCCGAGGAACUUAAAACUAGCUACCCUCUCCACUACUGUUCCAUCGAUGUGGAUAGGGGGGUGUUCCCUCUGCUGUUUCCUGAAGUCCACAAUCAUCUCCUUAGUUUUGUUGACGUUGAGUGUUAGGUUAUUUUCCUGACACCACACUCCGAGGGCCCUCACCUCCUCCCUGUAGGCCGUCUCGUCGUUGUUGGUAAUCAAGCCUACCACUGUUGUGUCGUCCGCAAACUUGAUGAUUGAGUUGGAGGCGUGCGUGGCCACGCAGUCGUGGGUGAACAGGGAGUACAGGAGAGGGCUCAGAACGCACCCUUGUGGGGCCCCUGUGUUGAGGAUCAGCGGGGAGGAGAUGUUGUUGCCUACCCUCACCACCUGGGGGCAGCCCGUCAGGAAGUCCAGUACCCAGUUGCACAGGGCGGGGUCGAGACCCAGGGUUGGAAUGUGAAGCAAUGAAAUGGGGUAUCAGUCUACUCGGUGACACCCACAGAACACGACUGUGAAGAGUUUACUCAAAUAUUAGUGUUGUAGCUCUUAUUGCGGGACUGUGACUGUGUGAAAUCGCCUCCCCAGUCAUCUUAUUGUGUGUAUUGACAUUCAUAUUGUACUGUACAGCUUUACCUAAGGAUUGGGGAUCAAUGAAAUAGGGUAUCAGUCUACUCAAUACUCAAUAUAUUUUUCCCAACGUCCUCCUCAGAGUCCUCCUUAUCAGACUCCAAAACAUCCACGUGGUAUUGUUUUUCCUCUGGAAUAGUGUUCAAUAUACAUAGCUUGACAAUAAAUGUGUCUCAGUUCAGUUGUUUCAGAGUCCAGCAAUAAGAGCUACAGUACGACGAUAAUGUUCUCUGGGUGUCCUGAGUAGACUGAGACCCCAUGUCAUUGAUCCACAAUCUAUAGGUAAAGCUGUACUGUGAAAUAACUAUUUAAUUCACUUUUAUUUAACCGGGUAGGCCAGUUGAGAAAAAGUUCUCAUUUACAACUGCGACCUGGCCAAGAUAAAGCAAAGCAGUGCGACAAAAACAACAACAGAGAGUUACACAUAAACAAACGCACAGUCAAUAACACAAAAUAAAUAAAACUAGAAAAAGUUAUGUACAGUGUGUGCAAAUGUAAAAAUAAUUAUACAAAUAUAUAUGAAAUAUAUAUAUGAAGAAAACUGAUAUAUACAAGGGACAGGACAAGACAAUCAAAACAGACAUCCCCACUGCUACACCACCUUGGUUUAGUAUGCCCCCAAUGCAAAUCUAAAGUAUAAUCCAUCCAGUGUGAUUUCAACAGAUUUUUGUCAAAUUAACAAAUGAUUGUCUUUUGUUGAUUUUAUAUAACAGCAUUCCAACCUCUUUUGGCAUCAUCUCUUAAAUUAUGGCAUAAUUCUACUAUUUGUAUUAAUUUGCAUCACUGUCAAUGACAUACUUUUAUUUUGAAGGCUAACCGCAAAAUCCACUAUUGUGGCUAAUUCUUAUUGUGGCUAGCUACACAUAGAUGGGCCCGACCACCAUUAAUCAAAUAAGAACUGUCUUAUAAAUUAGGGUUAUUUUAGAUGAUGACACCUAGCUAUAUAGUUAGCUAGCUACUAUAGCUACAGAAAACAGAUUAUUUCGUUUUGCUAUGUUUUUGGGGAAGAACAUUGAUUGCAUCAAUGAGCUAGCUAGCUUUGUUUAUGACCAGCACUGUAGGUGCGCAGAGACAACUUUACCAACAUCUUUUAUAUUAUUUUUUAUAAAAUAUAUGUUUUAUUCAUAAUACAAAAAUCAACUUACAUUGCUACAUCAAACAUGUCUAAUAAAACAAAACACAGGUAUUAACAAGAAAAUACUCAAACAUACAAAAAAUUAUAUAAAAUAAUACAAAAAAUAAACUAUUUUAGUGCAAUUGUAUUAACUCUGAAAAUAUCUUAUUAUAAUGAUUCAGGAAUAUGUUAUUCUUGUUGUUAUUCACUUGGGUUAAUGUUUUAAUAAGAUAAUUUAAUUCAAUCAGAAAAAUUUGUAAUUUUGGUAUAGAAUUUGGAAUUUUGUUUGUGUAUAAAGUAUUUGGCAAAAAAAUUAAAAUAAUUAACAAUCAUUUCAGUGGUCUUGUUAUCAUUGCAAUAGUAACAUAUUGUAUCUUUCAUGUCAAAAACAUAGGCAGUGUUCAUAAUGCUAAAUAAGUAUUUUGCAAGGUUUUCCAUCAAUUCUGACACAAAUUUACAUUCAAAGAACAAGUGAGACAGAUUCUAAUCUUCUUUUUCACAGAAAACGCAUAUAUCAUCAAUAGCUAUACAUUUGGACAUCAUAGAAUUACAUGGGUAUAUCUUAUGUAAAAUUUUGAAAUGCACUUCCUUUACUUUGUUUGGUAUACAGUAUUUGUAAGGCCUUAACCAUGCAUUUUACCAAACAAUGUCAGGAAUAAGCAUGUUCCAGAAAAACCUUCCUCUCGGUGUAAGUUGGUUUUGUGAAUGAAGAAUUUGUCUUAUAUAUUUAUGAGAACACGAUCCCUCAAGAAAGCCCACACCUUCCAAUCUGAGUUCUGGAUAAACUUUGUGAUCAUUCCAAAAAUGAAGAUGAGUUUUCAUAAGUGUAGUUAGACCACUGGAAACAGCUUUGAUCACAGAAAUAAACUAUCUGAAAGGUAUUGAAAACUCUUUGAAUGUUAUAAAUUGUUCAUAUGUGAGAAUAUUACCCUUGUUGUCGAAAAUAUCAAGAACAAAGUCAAUAUUCCUCUCAUGCCAGCUGGGGUAGAACAAUGACUUAUUCCUUACAGUUAUGUCUGAAUUAUUCCACAAAAGAGCUUUGUGUGGGGAAAAAUUGUGCAGGAAACAUAUUUUCCAGGCCAUUAAAGCUUGUUGGUGAAACCUAGCCAAAUUUAGCAGGUAAUCUUUAAGGAAUAUAAUUACAUUGCAAUAAAAAUUGAAGACCUCCAAUUUAUUAAACACGUUAUUUGGAAUGAAAUACCAUAUUGAAUCAGUAUUGAUCAAACAUGUUUUCAACCAGUUUAUCUUGAAAGUGUUAUUUACGUCAGCAAAAUCCAACAAAUCUAGACCGCCUUCAGCUCUUUUGUUUGAAAGGACAGAUUUUUUUAGUUUGUGAGACUUAUUUUUCCAGAUGAAGUCAAGAAAGGUCUUAUUAAUCUCUUUAUAAGUAGCUGGAUUUACACAUAAUAAUAAUGAGGGGUAAACAAAAUGAGACAGUCCCUCUGUCUUGGACAGAAGUACUCUCCCAAGUAUAGAAAGAUCUCUUUUUAGCCAAUUAUUAAAUAUAUUUUUUAAUUCUCUUAAUUUUAGGAGAGAAAUUCAAAUGUUGUCUGACAAAGUGGUUUUUUGACAGAUGUAUUCCUAAAUAUUUAACAGGAAUAUAUCAUUUACAGGAAUAUUUUCUAUUUCUUCAUCACCCGAGUCAAAUAAACAUAAGAUUUCACAUUUAGAAACAUUCAGCAUUAAUCCUGAUGCAACAGAAAAUGCAGUUAUAGCAUUAAGGGCAUGGGGCGACCUGGUAUUUGUCUCUUAAGAAAAUAGUAGUAUCAUCAGCCAGUUCUGAGAUUUUGAUUUCUUUGUUAAAAAUGGUUAAGCCAUACAAAUUUGUAUUAUUCAGAAUAUCUAGAGAUAGAAGUUCCACAACCAAAAUGAAUAAAAAUGGCGAAAUUGGGCAUCCCUGUCGUGCACUUCUGUUGAUACUGAAUCUUUUGGAAGUAUUAAGGUUUAGUAGCACAUAACUAUUUAUAUCUUUGUAAAACAUGAAAAUUAUUUUAAUACAAUUUUCACCAAAUCCAAAAAGUUUAAGAGACCUAAAGAGAAAUUCAUGUUCAAUUGUGUCAAAGGCUUUACAGGAGUCCAAAAAUAGGACAACCGUAUCUGAGUCAAUUGCAUCUGAAUAAUCUAUAAGGUUCAAGACUAAACGAAUGUUAGAGCUUAUCUGACGGCCCUUCAUAAGUCCUGUUUGGGUCUCAUUUAUAAUGGUAUCUAUUCCUUUCUUUAAUCUUUUGGCAUAAAGCAGAGCAAUCCAUUUGUAAUCAACAUUUAAUAAAGUAAUUGGUCUCCAAUUGUCAAUGAGAGAAGGAUCUUUAUGGGGAAUCAAUUAAAUAAGACCCUGUUUCAUAGUGGAGACCAUUUCCCCAUUUUUAAUGCAAUCUUGAAACAUAUUGAAAAUCGGGUCUUCUCGUAACUCCCAAUACUGUCUAUAGAAUUCAACUGACAUGCCAUCAGGGCCAGGUGAUUUCCCUUUUUUCAUUGAAUUCAGCGCCUCUCUAAUUUCUUCAAUUGACACAGGUGAAUCGCAAACUGAGUGGAAAUCAUCCUCAAUUACAGGGACAUAAUUAUGAAUGUGGCAAAUGUAGCUUUCACAACCAUCUUCCUGAAAUUGAGAGCUGUUAAGGUUUUCAUAAAAGGAAUUGACAAAUGAUGAUAUUGUAAUGGGAUCUUUGCAUAAAACAUCAUUAGUUUUGAGUGCAGUUAUACGUUUUCUUUUGUAGUUUCUCUUUUCAAGUGCAAAAAAGUAACUAGUGUUUUUCCCCCUCUUCAAUCCAUUUUGCUCUUGACCUUACAAAGGCGCCCUUUGCCAGAUCCGUGUAAGGCUGUUCUAAUUCUAGUUGUAAAGAAUUGAACAUAGACUCCUCUUCUUCAGAUAGAUUAUCUUUCUUUAGAAAACUGUCAAGCUUGCUCAUCUCCUUUUCUCUAAGGUUCUUUAAUUGCAUCAGCUCUUUGGCGCGUUUAAUAGCUACCACUCUGACUUUAUAUUUGUCACAUAAAUCUAGAAUAGAUUUAUUCCUAAUUUCCCCUUUUUUGUUACAAUUUGUUAUAGAUGUAGAUCAUCAGUUGGCUCCCCUUUCUGAUCAUCACUUGAUUUACCUGAAUUUACAAGAAUUUGAAUUUACAAGAUAUAUAUUUUUUUGCAAGAAAAGACUUGGGUCAUGGAAGUAGAUGGGAACUUUACCAGUAUCAUAGCAUAUGAAAUACGACUGAUAGUGUAAUCAAUGUGUAAUAAAUACAUAAAAAAUGAUUUAAUGCGUUCAAUUAUUACGUGACGUGCAUCAUAUUCAGGUCCUGAUUGGUUAACAAGCUUGUUUAGUGUUAUUUGUUAUGUGACAUGCAUCAUAUUCAGGUCCUGAUUGGUCAACAAGCUUAUUUAGUGUUAUUUGUUAUUUGACGUGUAUUAUUUUUUGACACGCCAAGACCCAAACAGCGUUCCAUACCACAGUUGCAAAUAUUAUCAAGUGAAGUGGUUUUAAAAAUGCUUUGUGUGAUGUCGCUUCUGCAAACAAUGAGGGCUGGUGUGGGAGGAAUAACUGGUAAAUACUGUAUUAAUAAAGUCAUACUAAUACAUGGAGAUAUAGAAUGUAUUUGGGGUGUAUUUUCCUUACUGUUUUGGGUAUGAGAGAACAGAUAACACACUAUAUAGAUAAACUGAGCGGGUCACAUUCUCUGUUGUUUACUUUAUUUGUUGUUUGGAACCAAAGAAAGAUGGCUUUGCUUGAGGCGGGACAGACUUGUAAAAUAAAGAGAGUGAUCAA